This 31-nucleotide non-coding RNA is filed under the name Mus musculus (house mouse). Lineage: Eukaryota; Metazoa; Chordata; Mammalia; Rodentia; Muridae. The record is from RNAcentral.
UCCACAUGUAGGAUUUCCAGGGCACAGCAGU